UGGGGAUCAUAUGGAGGUUAGUAUCUUAAUUCUAAGCUUUUCUCAUUGGGUUACAGAUCAGAUAUUUAACUGCUGGCUAUUUGUUUCAGAGACUGCCUAUUGGUUGAUCCUAAAGAGCUUGCAGACCCAUCUUUUAACUCCCAGCAACAGAGGGAAAGGUUCUCACAUCUUUUGCAUCUGGCUGUGCUACCUCAUUAGUAGUUGAUAGGUGAAUCCAAGCAAUGGACAUAGUCAAGGCAAUUACCAGCUCCUUUGAGAAAGGAUGUUGGGGCACAAAGUCUCCAAAGAGUUUGAAGCAAGUUCAUUCUGGAGCAGCUCAUUUGUGCAUGAAAUUCAUGGAGGACUGUUAUAUACCACUUUUUAUGAUUUUAAGUUCUUUCUUGUAUUGGUUUAGCCAUAAAUUUCAA
Molecule: long non-coding RNA, 407 nt
Organism: Rosa chinensis
Lineage: Eukaryota; Viridiplantae; Streptophyta; Magnoliopsida; Rosales; Rosaceae
Exons: 3
Source: RefSeq, a predicted model, not a curated record